AGUGAACGCUGGCGGUAGGCCUAACACAUGCAAGUCGAACGUCAUCACAGUAAGAGCUUGCUCUUACGGGUGGCGUGUGUCGGACGGGUGAGGAAUGCAUCGGAAUCUACUUUUUCGUGGCGGAUAACGUAGGGAAACUUACGCUAAUACCUCAUACGACAUACGGGUUAAACCAGGGUAUCUUCGUACCUUGCCCUAUUGACUGAGCCGAUGUCGGGUUAGCUAGUUGGCGGGGUAAAGACCCACCAAGCCGACGCUACGUAGCUGGUCUGAGAGGAUGAUAAGACAAACUGGAACUGAGACACGGUCAAGACUCCUACGGGAGGCAGAAGUGGGAAAUAUUGGACAAUGGGAGAAAGCCUGAUCAAGACAUACCGCGUGGGAAAAGAAGGCCUUCGGGUUGUAAAGCAAGUUUGAUGGGAAAGAAAAGCAAAAAGUUAAUAACCCGAUGUACUGACGGUACAAAAAGAAUAAGCACCGGCUAACUUCGUG
RNAcentral lists this ribosomal RNA (492 nucleotides) under uncultured bacterium. RNAcentral describes it as "partial 16S ribosomal RNA". It matches the Rfam family "Bacterial small subunit ribosomal RNA", at positions 29 to 507 of the family's 1533-position model. The record is from RNAcentral.